GGGGGGUUGCAGGGAAGCGCCCCAGGCGCCCCAGAACCCUUUGUGAACUUAUACCUUACUGUUGCCUCGGCGCAUGCCGGCCCCCCUGGGGGCCCCUCCUUCUGGAGGAGCAGGCACGCCGGCGGCCAACCUAACUCUUGUUUUUACACUGAAACUCUGAGCACAAAACAUAAAUGAAUCAAAACUUUCAACAACGGAUCUCUUGGUUCUGGCAUCGAUGAAGAACGCAGCGAAAUGCGAUAAGUAAUGUGAAUUGCAGAAUUCAGUGAAUCAUCGAAUCUUUGAACGCACAUUGCGCCCUCUGGUAUUCCGGAGGGCAUGCCUGUUCGAGCGUCAUUUCAACCCUCAAGCCUGGCUUGGUGAUGGGGCACUGCCUGUAAAAGGGCAGGCCCUGAAAUUCAGUGGCGAGCUCGCCAGGACCCCGAGCGCAGUAGUUAAACCCUCGCUUUGGAAGGCCCUGGCGGUGCCCUGCCGUUAAACCCCCAACUUCUGAAAAUUUGACCUCGGAUCAGGUAGGAAUACCCGCUGAACUUAAGCAUAUCAAUAAGCGGAGGAA
RNAcentral lists this ribosomal RNA (556 nucleotides) under Diaporthe sp. Its description in RNAcentral is "eukaryotic LSU rRNA". The stretch from base 183 to 336 matches the Rfam family "5.8S ribosomal RNA". The record is from RNAcentral. Lineage: Eukaryota; Fungi; Ascomycota; Sordariomycetes; Diaporthales; Diaporthaceae.